GCCAUCGUAGCUCAGCUGGUAGAGCAACGCUCUCGUAAAGCGUAGGUCAGGGGUCCGAGUCCCCUUGAUGGCU
RNAcentral lists this transfer RNA (73 nucleotides) under bacterium. RNAcentral describes it as "tRNA-Thr". It matches the Rfam family "tRNA". Rfam says of the family: Transfer RNA (tRNA) molecules are approximately 80 nucleotides in length. Their secondary structure includes four short double-helical elements and three loops (D, anti-codon, and T loops). RNAcentral also lists the same sequence under 2 other names. The record is from RNAcentral.